This 278-nucleotide ribosomal RNA is filed under the name uncultured bacterium. RNAcentral describes it as "partial 16S ribosomal RNA". It matches the Rfam family "Bacterial small subunit ribosomal RNA", at positions 511 to 788 of the family's 1533-position model. The record is from RNAcentral.
GCAGCCGCGGUAAUACGGAGGACCCAAGCGUUAUCCGGAUUUAUUGGGUUUAAAGGGUGCGUAGGCGGUUUGGUAAGUUAGAGGUGAAAUCUCGGUGCUCAACACCGAAACUGCCUCUAAUACUGUUGAACUAGAGAGUGGUUGCUGUGGGCGGAAUGUGUAGUGUAGCGGUGAAAUGCUUAGAGAUUACACAGAACACCGAUUGCGAAGGCAGCUCACAAAGCCAUAUCUGACGUUGAGGCACGAAAGCGUGGGGAGCAAACAGGAUUAGAUACCCC